ACCUACAAGCGGUGGAUCACUC
RNAcentral lists this ribosomal RNA (22 nucleotides) under Oligonychus perseae (avocado spider mite). Its description in RNAcentral is "partial 5.8S ribosomal RNA". RNAcentral also lists the same sequence under 1 other name. The record is from RNAcentral. Lineage: Eukaryota; Metazoa; Arthropoda; Arachnida; Trombidiformes; Tetranychidae.